RNAcentral lists this transfer RNA (57 nucleotides) under Strongyloides papillosus. Its description in RNAcentral is "tRNA-Leu". Lineage: Eukaryota; Metazoa; Nematoda; Chromadorea; Rhabditida; Strongyloididae. The record is from RNAcentral.
GUGGGUAUAGUAUAAUAUAUUAUAAUGGGUUUAGGUCCCAGAGAUUUAUUGCCCACU